GGGCUACAUGCUCGACAAGGCCGCCGCCGUCAACCGUGCCCUCGACCUGGCCAUCCCAAUUGCCUACCCUGAGCGCAUCCACGAGGCCAUGCGCUACUCCCUCCUCGCCGGCGGCAAGCGUGUCCGCCCUAUCCUCUGCCUUGCCGCAUGCGAGCUCUCCGGCGGCAGCGAUCUCCAGGGCAUGCCCCCGGCCCUCUCCGUGGAGAUGAUCCACACCAUGUCUCUCAUCCAUGACGAUCUCCCCUG
This 246-nucleotide unclassified non-coding RNA is filed under the name Hevea brasiliensis (rubber tree). Lineage: Eukaryota; Viridiplantae; Streptophyta; Magnoliopsida; Malpighiales; Euphorbiaceae. The record is from RNAcentral.